GCGGGGGAACAGGGAACAGGGGCUAAAGAGCAUUUCAAAAUCGAAAAGCGUUGCGAAACGGGGAAAAUUUGUUUUUCCUACAUAAGUUAACACAUUGCCGCCAGCCUGCAGCGCGCUUAAUUUCAAACAGGAUUUACGAGGUUGACACACAUUUACCGGGAUGAAAUGGUAUGGUGUGGCAUGGUAUGGUGUGGCGGGACUAGGGAUGUCAGGGGACACACACGAGGACCUACUGGCUGGAUGAGGAUGAAGAUGAGGAAAUUGUGAAAAGAGCAAAUCGCUUGUGACGAACCCGAAUUUUCAACGCUCGACUGACGACUUCCCCUGUGCGAUGCGUAGAAGACGCCAAGGUGCGAAUGAAAUGUCCUUUUUGGCUCAGACCAGCUCAGCUCAGGCGAGUUCUUUAUGUCCGGUGAUCUUCAGCUGCCCCGGGGCUCUGAUCCGAUACGAAUCCAAAUCCGAAUCCGAUCUUGACUGUGUGGCGUGGCGAAUGUAAAUGUGUCUUGCAACGCAAAAUUGCUCGCUCAAUUGCGUUUUGGGAGGAACUCAAGAACAGAAGAACAGAGUGGCUUGUCUGUAAUUUGUUGCAUGCCUCGGACGCAAUUUGCCGGCCACCUCAAGUGGAAUCCGGGCAUUAAUAUUCAAUUUUCCAAGUGCAGUACUUAGAGCAGCUUAGAAUAGCCCAGCCUGUGGACUCUGAAGUCGAGUGCCUUCGUCGGCCCAAUUAGCUGCAAUUGUUGGCUAUUGACCUGCAUGCAAAAUAGCCUGCCACAUCUGCUCUACAUUCAUUUUUCAGCUGGCCACAGAUUGCAGUCAGCUAGACAAGUCGGAUUUAAAUAAGGAACAUGAAGAUGUAACUAAAAUCUAUGUAAAUUUGAGAACGAU
Drosophila santomea is the source of this 885-nucleotide long non-coding RNA. RefSeq lists it as uncharacterized. NCBI's taxonomy places the organism in Eukaryota, Metazoa, Arthropoda, Insecta, Diptera, Drosophilidae. The record is from RefSeq and is a predicted model, not a curated record. The transcript has 2 exons.